GUUUUAAAAAACUUUAUUGACACUUCUAACCUCACACGUUACAAUAAAGCAUUGUAUUGAAAGAGCUUAAGAGUACCAAUUGCCAGUUAGGAGACUGUCAUGGCUGAUACACUGUCAACUGGAGAAGCUUAGAAGUCUAAGGGACUCAGCAGGGAGCGAGGGCCCUUGCUCUGUAGACACCCUCAUCCUGUGCAACAGGAGGGCAGGAAAAUGGCAUCAGUGCUACUUCUGCCCUUUUGUGCUUGCUGCUUUUGCUGUCCUCCACCACCUUGAACAGUUGCCCCUGCGUCGUGCCCAGCUGGCCUUGGAGUGAGCUGAUCUUGGAUCGAAACCUCCACGAGCUGUGAGCUAACUCAGCCUCUCCUUCCCUUGUUGUGGGUGUUGGGCAUUUUCCCUCAGCAAUGACAGAAAGGUAACCAACACAGAAUUCGGCAAUCAUUGCUGUGACUGUGCCUGAGGAUAUGGCUCAAGAGCCUUUGGGAAUGACUUGGAAAGUCUGGAAAGGUGCAG
This is a long non-coding RNA of Octodon degus (degu), 510 nucleotides long. RefSeq lists it as uncharacterized. Lineage: Eukaryota; Metazoa; Chordata; Mammalia; Rodentia; Octodontidae. The record is from RefSeq and is a predicted model, not a curated record. The transcript has 3 exons.